Molecule: transfer RNA, 77 nt
Filed under: Eubacteriaceae bacterium
Lineage: Bacteria; Bacillati; Bacillota; Clostridia; Eubacteriales; Eubacteriaceae
Description: tRNA-Pro
Rfam family: tRNA
About the family: Transfer RNA (tRNA) molecules are approximately 80 nucleotides in length. Their secondary structure includes four short double-helical elements and three loops (D, anti-codon, and T loops). Further hydrogen bonds mediate the characteristic L-shaped molecular structure. tRNAs have two regions of fundamental functional importance: the anti-codon, which is responsible for specific mRNA codon recognition, and the 3' end, to which the tRNAs corresponding amino acid is attached (by aminoacyl-tRNA synthetases). tRNAs cope with the degeneracy of the genetic code in two manners: having more than one tRNA (with a specific anti-codon) for a particular amino acid; and 'wobble' base-pairing, i.e. permitting non-standard base-pairing at the 3rd anti-codon position.
Source: RNAcentral
CGAGGUGUGGCGCAGUUUGGUAGCGCACCUGGUUUGGGACCAGGGGGUCGGGGGUUCAAAUCCCUUCGCCUCGACCA